This 253-nucleotide ribosomal RNA is filed under the name uncultured bacterium. RNAcentral's name for it is "partial 16S ribosomal RNA". It matches the Rfam family "Bacterial small subunit ribosomal RNA", at positions 524 to 776 of the family's 1533-position model. The record is from RNAcentral.
UACGGAGGGUGCAAGCGUUAAUCGGAAUUACUGGGCGUAAGGCGCGCGUAGGUGGUUGAGUAAGCGAGAUGUGAAAGCCCCGGGCUUAACCUGGGAACGGCACUUCGAACUGCUCGGCUAGAGUGUGGUAGAGGGUAGUGGAAUUUCCUGUGUAGCGGUGAAAUGCGUAGAUAUAGGAAGGAACACCAGUGGCGAAGGCGGCUACCUGGACCAACACUGACACUGAGGUGCGAAAGCGUGGGGAGCAAACAGG